AUGCUAAUCCAAUUGCCCAAACUCAGCUACAAAGCAGGGAUCAUGGAGGCUGAGAGAGCCAGCUGCACGGCACCGAGGGUGGAGGACCAGGGAGCUCCUGUACCAAGCUUGUGCAUAGCAACCCCCAGAAUCUGUGGGAGGGAAGACAGCCCUGUGAUUACAGCUGCAGUAGGAAAUCCCUGCAAACGGAUUCUCCUGAUCAGCAGCAAUGACGAAUAUUAUCUCUCAGCAACCACGAAAGUUGUUCACCAUUGAAAAAAAUGAUUAACAACAAUAUAUGGUUCAAAUGUGGCGUAAGGGAAAUAGUGAUUUAAAGCCGACUCGUAAGUGGGAAUCGAAGUCAGCAGCAGGAUUGCAGAUUUCCCUGCUUGCAACCAAGCCGGAAAGAAAAAACUCCCACGUUCAUGAUGGCUUUGAGAAAAGAACAUAAAUCCACUGCCUGGUAAACUCUCAGGUAAGGGAUUGGUCAGCAGAUGCAGAAGCUUUUUUCGCCGGGUCAAUUCCACCGGAGGCAAGACCGUGACCGCAAACGAGAAAGGAUACGCUUGUGAAAGAUGCUUGUUGGCCAAGCCGGUCAUAAUUCAUGCUCCAGCGACACUAUGCCUGGAGGAAGGGGAAUGAAACAUUUAUGAAAAUGGCUCUUUCCCAGCCGCACAUCAUGUUCGUCAAAGGGAAGAAGGCAAAAAAAGCAGGAAUAAUUUCCCGAGAAACACCAGGCUGGUAGUGAUUUGUUUCUUUGUAUCUUUAGGACUAGAUUGCAUGUCUGAGGUUUUGGACAUGAACACACUGAGUGCUUCAUAUCCUUGAUUUUAUUGUUUCACUGCAUCUCAAAACAUCCUCCUGAACUACCCAGGAGUGAACUUGAUCUGCAGAGAGUUGAGGUGUAGCCUGAAGCAUCCCCAUCCGAAGCGAGACAUUUUCUUGCCAUGUCACUUUUAACCCUAAAAAAGAAAANAAAAAAAAAAAAAAAAAAAAAAAGAAAAAAAAAAAAAGCAUGCACAGUUUGCAUUCUAUCCCAUGAUAUCCCCACACUUGUAGCAGUAACAAUCAUCUUACUCUCCCAUUGGAAGCCCAAAAUUGAAGACACUCUCCCAGGGUGACACUAAGGCAAUUUAACAUUCUGUCAUUCUUCCUGCCACUCAUUAGGCAUUGUGAGGCCUUCUCUGAGACUCAUGGUAAUUUGAUCCAAGGAGAAGGGCACAGUAGUUCACAACAAAGAGUAGAAUCCAACUUUGGUCAGAAAAUAACGAGGUCU
This 1255-nucleotide long non-coding RNA is filed under the name Sus scrofa (pig). Its description in RNAcentral is "lncRNA (ENSSSCG00055001010.1)". The record is from RNAcentral. Lineage: Eukaryota; Metazoa; Chordata; Mammalia; Artiodactyla; Suidae.